UUGGGUGUCGCGAACGGCGGCGUCGAGCUGGCCUUUCAAGCUGGCCAUGUGGGUUCGAUUCCCGUCACCCGCUCCA
This 76-nucleotide transfer RNA is filed under the name Geodermatophilus siccatus. Its description in RNAcentral is "tRNA_Pseudo_TTC". The record is from RNAcentral. Lineage: Bacteria; Bacillati; Actinomycetota; Actinomycetes; Geodermatophilales; Geodermatophilaceae.